Molecule: ribosomal RNA, 256 nt
Filed under: uncultured archaeon
Lineage: Archaea
Description: partial 16S ribosomal RNA
Rfam family: Bacterial small subunit ribosomal RNA
Source: RNAcentral
UAAUACGUAGGGGGCAAGCGUUAUCCGGAAUUACUGGGUGUAAAGGGUGCGUAGGCGGCCUCACAAGUCAGAUGUGAAACCCAAGGGCUCAACUCUUGGUUUGCAUCAGAAACUGUGGAGCUAGAGUGCAGGAGAGGAAAGUGGAAUUCCUAGUGUAGCGGUGAAAUGCGUAGAUAUUAGGAGGAACACCAGUAGCGAAGGCGACUUUCUGGAAUGUAACUGACGCUGAGGCACGAAAGCGUGGGUAGCAAACAGG